Molecule: ribosomal RNA, 2991 nt
Filed under: bioreactor metagenome
Description: bacterial LSU rRNA
Rfam family: Bacterial large subunit ribosomal RNA
Source: RNAcentral
UCAAGUUAGAAAGGGCAUACGGUGGAUGCCUUGGUGCCAGGAGGCGAUGAAGGGCGUGGCCAACUGCGAUAAGCUUCGGGUAGCUGUAAGCAAGCUUUGAUCCGGAGAUUCCCGAAUGGGGCAACCCACUGGAGUAAACCUCCAGUAUCCCGUAAGGGAGGCUAACCGGGGGAACUGAACCAUCUAAGUACCCCGAGGAAAAGAAAGAAAUUCGAUUCCCUAAGUAGCGGCGAGCGAAAGGGGAACAGCCUAAACCCAAAGAGUGUAAUAACCCCUGGGUGUUGCUCUUUGGGGGUAGAGGGAAGAGAGAGGUUCUACCAGGGUGGAACCAGAGAGUUACCAAACCAGGUUUUAGCUGAACAGGUCUGGAAAGCCUGGCCAGAGAAGGUGAUAGCCCAGUAAGCGAAAAGAUCUGGUCUCUCCUCUCUUUCCCGAGUACCACGGUCCACGAGGAAUUCCGUGGGAAUCUGGGAGGACCAUCUCCUAAGGCUAAAUACUACCUGGCAACCGAUAGUGAACUAGUACCGUGAGGGAAAGGUGAAAAGAACCCCGGGAGGGGAGUGAAAUAGAACCUGAAACCGUAUGUCUACAAUACGUGGAAGAGCUAUGGAGAAGACCUAGUCUCCUCCAGCUCGACUGCGUGCCUUUUGGAGAAUGAGCCGGCGAGUUACGGUGGCUGGCAAGGUUAAGUGCUUAAGGCAUGGAGCCGUAGGGAAACCGAGUCUGAAUAGGGCGCAUAGUCAGUCAUCGUAGACCCGAAACCAGGUGAUCUACCCAUGGCCAGGGUGAAGUGGGGAUAAAACCCCAUGGAGGCCCGAACCGGUGUAGGUUGAAAACUGCUCGGAUGAGCUGUGGGUAGGGGUGAAAGGCCAAUCAAACCUGGAGAUAGCUGGUUCUCCCCGAAAUAGCUUUAGGGCUAGCCUCCGGUAGGAGGAGAGGGGGUAGAGCACUGAAUGGGCUAGGGGGCUAACCCGCCUACCAAACCCAACCAAACUCCGAAUACCUCUCCUUAAUGCCGGGGAGUCAGACUGCGAAGGAUAAGCUCCGUGGUCGAAAGGGAAACAGCCCAGACCGUCAGCUAAGGCCCCCAAACGUGGACUAAGUGGUAAAGGUAGUGACCUUGCUGAGACAGCCAGGAGGUUGGCUUAGAAGCAGCCAUCCUUUAAAAAGUGCGUAAUAGCUUACUGGUCUAGCGAUGUUGCGCCGAAAAAUUCUCGGGGCUCAAGUCCACUGCCGAAGCUACGGAUUCCAGAAUUUAGUUUCUAUCUUCUGGGAUGGUAGGGGAGCGUUGGGUAAGCCAGAGAAGCGGGACCGGAAGGACCCGUGGAGGUAUCCCAAGUGAGAAUGCCGGCAUGAGUAGCGAUAAAGAGGGUGAGAAUCCCUCUCGCCGUAAGCCUAAGGUUUCCUGAGGAAGGUUCGUCCUCUCAGGGUUAGUCGGAUCCUAAGCCGAGGCGGAAACGCGUAGGCGAUGGGUAACUGGUUGAUAUUCCAGUACUACCAGUUUUCUGUUAUUCCGAUGGGGUGACGCAGGAGGGUAGGCCAUCCGCCUGGAGGAAUAGGCGGUCUAAGCCAGUAGGCGGAGAAAAGGUAAUCCCUUUUCUCGAUAACGCUGAGAGGUGAUGGGGAGUCCCUACGGGGGCGAACUGGUUGAUCCCCCACUGACUAGAAAAGCCUCUAAGGAGGAAGAUUGGUAUCCGUACCGCAAACCGACACAGGUAGGCAGGAUGAGUAUUCUAAGGCGCGCGAGUGAUCCCCCGUUAAGGAACUCGGCAAGUUAACCCUGUAACUUCGGAAGAAGGGGUGCCUCUCUCGGUGAAUAGAUUUACACUAGGAGCGGAGAGAGGUCGCAGAAAAAUGGCUCUGGCGACUGUUUAUUAAAAACACAGGACUCUGCUAAGCCGUAAGGCGAUGUAUAGGGUCUGACGCCUGCCCAGUGCUGGAAGGUUAAGGGGAGGGGUUAGCGAAAGCGAAGCUCCAAACUGAAGCCCCAGUAAACGGCGGCCGUAACUAUAACGGUCCUAAGGUAGCGAAAUUCCUUGUCGGGUAAGUUCCGACCCGCAUGAACGGCGUAACGACCGGAGCGCUGUCUCAACGGGGAGCUCGGCGAAGUUUCAAUACAAGUGCAGAUGCUUGUUACCCGCGACUAGACGGAGAGACCCCGUGAACCUUUACUGUAGCCUGAUAUUGGAUCCGGGUACAUCUUGUGUAGGAUAGGUGGGAGGCAGAGAAGUCACCGCGCCAGCGGUGAUGGAGCCGACCUUGAAAUACCACCCUUGAUGUAUUCAGAUUCUAACCUGCAGAAGUUAUCCUUCUGAGGGACAGUGUCAGGGGGGCAGUUUGACUGGGGCGGUCGCCUCCUAAAGAGUAACGGAGGCGCCCUAAGGUUCCCUCAGCACGUUUGGAAAUCGUGUGUGGAGUGUAAAGGCAUAAGGGAGCUUGACUGCGAGAGGGACACCUCAAGCAGAGACGAAAGUCGGGCUUAGUGAUCCGGUGGUGCAGUAUGGAAUGGCCAUCGCUCAACGGAUAAAAGGUACUCCGGGGAUAACAGGCUGGUCUCUCCCAAGAGUCCACAUCGACGGAGAGGCUCGGCACCUCGAUGUCGGCUCGUCGCAUCCUGGGGCUGAAGCAGGUCCCAAGGGUUGGGCUGUUCGCCCAUUAAAGCGGUACGUGAGCUGGGUUUAGAACGUCGUGAGACAGUUCGGUCCCUAUCUGUCGUGGGCGUAGGAUACUUGAGGGGAGCUGUCCCUAGUACGAGAGGACCGGGAUGGACGAACCUCCGGUGUACCAGUUGUCCCGCCAGGGGCAUAGCUGGGUAGCUGUGUUCGGAGAGGAUAAGCGCUGAAAGCAUCUAAGUGCGAAGCCCACCCCAAGAUUAGGUAUCCCACUCGAAAGAGGUAAGACUCCGGGAAGAUUACCCGGUUGAUAGGCUCCCGGUGGAAGGAUGGUAACAUCCGUAGCCGAGGGGUACUAAUAAGUCGAGGACUUGACCGC